GUGGGGAAUAUUGGACAAUGGGCGCAAGCCUGAUCCAGCAAUGCCGCGUGCAGGAAGAAGGCCUUCGGGUUGUAAACUGCUUUUGUACGGAACGAAACGGUCCUGGUUAAUACCCGGGGCUAAUGACGGUACCGUAAGAAUAAGCACCGGCUAACUACGUGCCAGCAGCCGCGGUAAUACGUAGGGUGCAAGCGUUAAUCGGAAUUACUGGGCGUAAAGCGUGCGCAGGCGGUGCUGUAAGACAGGCGUGAAAUCCCCGGGCUUAACCUGGGAAUUGCGCUUGGGACUGCAGUGCUGGAGUGCGGCAGAGGGGGAUGGAAUUCCGCGUGUAGCAGUGAAAUGCGUAGAUAUGCGGAGGAACACCGAUGGCGAAGGCAAUCCCCUGGGCCUGCACUGACGCUCAUGCACGAAAGCGUGGGGAGCAAACAGGAUUAGAAACCCUGGUAGUCC
RNAcentral lists this ribosomal RNA (450 nucleotides) under uncultured bacterium. RNAcentral describes it as "partial 16S ribosomal RNA". It matches the Rfam family "Bacterial small subunit ribosomal RNA", at positions 354 to 796 of the family's 1533-position model. The record is from RNAcentral.